RNAcentral lists this long non-coding RNA (1135 nucleotides) under Parus major (Great Tit). RNAcentral's name for it is "lncRNA (ENSPMJG00000002307.1)". The record is from RNAcentral. Lineage: Eukaryota; Metazoa; Chordata; Aves; Passeriformes; Paridae.
GGUAACUGAGAGACCUGGGAGAUCCCCUGACACACCUGAGCUACAGGUACCUGAGGAACCUGGAAGCCCCACCCAACACACCUGAGCCCCGCCCUGGGACCCUCCCCCAGGCUCUCAGCACCACCUGACACCCACCCAAAAGCACCUGAGUGUCCCAGGGGUGGGUCCUUGGGUGUGUCCCCACUCUCCCAGGUGUGUCCCCAUUCUCCCAGGUGUGUCCCAGGUGCGUCCCCCUGUGCCCAGGUGUGUCCCCACUCUCCCAGGUGCGUCCCCACCCACCCAGGUGUGUCCACCUGUGCCCAGCUGUGUUCCAGCUGUGUCCCCUUGUGCCCAGGUGUGUCCCAGGUGUGUCACUCACUGUCGGGGGGGUUCCUGACGUCCAGGCGCAGCCUCAGGGUGGGCCGGGCGCAGGUGAAGGCAUUGGCCAGGUCACCAUCGCUCAGCAGAGGCACAAAGGUGUCCUGGCCCUGCCCAUCCCGUGCUGCAAAGCUCAGCACGAAGCUUUUCUUCCUGAAAGAGCGACAGGUGAGGUCACCUGGGAGUUCCGGGGGGGUCCCAGGUGGGGUUUUGGGGGAGGAAGGUGCUCACCCCUGCAGGUCGAAGGCUCGGGCCAGGAUGUGCUGCAGCACAUCCAGCGAGGUGAUCUGCGGGUCCACGGCAAACGAGCGGAACUCGGGCGGCUGCUGCCCCUCGUUCUUCUGCGGGAGGAGCGUCAGAGGGUCCCGGAGGGUCCCGCGGGGGUCCCGGAGGGUCCCGGAGCCCCCCCGGCCCCUCACGGCGACUCAACAUGGCGGCACUCUCCCCUCACCGCGACAACGCGGAGAGCCUCCCGCGCCGCUGAUUGGCUGCCGGGCCUUCACGUGACCCGAGAGGCGGGAAAAUUUCCCGCCGGCGCCACACCCGCCUCGCCGAGCUGAUUGGUUGUCCGAACCCACGUGACCCCACCCUUAACUCCGCCCACAACUCAUCAUAAUAACCGCGCCCACGCGAGGCCCCGCCCACAACCACGCCCCAUCCCUUACCUUGACGCGCACGCGCACAACCUCGCACUCCUCCUCCAGCGAGGCUCCGCCCCCCGGCGAGACCCCGCCCCCCGCCGCCGCCGCCAUGUUGGGGCGGGGUCUCGGGGGGGAUU